RNAcentral lists this transfer RNA (69 nucleotides) under Maguimithrax spinosissimus. RNAcentral's name for it is "Damithrax spinosissimus tRNA-Ile". The record is from RNAcentral. Lineage: Eukaryota; Metazoa; Arthropoda; Malacostraca; Decapoda; Mithracidae.
AGUAUAGUGCCUGAUUAAAAAGGAUAGUUCCGAUAAGACUACUCAUGUAGAUAUUAUCUACCUAUGCUG